RNAcentral lists this long non-coding RNA (1385 nucleotides) under Gossypium raimondii (Peruvian cotton). RNAcentral's name for it is "long non-coding RNA (GRAI_LNC008407)". The record is from RNAcentral. Lineage: Eukaryota; Viridiplantae; Streptophyta; Magnoliopsida; Malvales; Malvaceae.
UUUAAAGUAAAAAGAUCAAAUCCGAAUUGUAAAUGUAGUUUAACAUGUAUAUAUUGUUUUUCCCGUAUUACUAGAAAAGAGUAAUGGUAUCAUCAUUGCAGUGGAGAUAUUUGUUUAUGUCUGUUACCUGAUACUUGUCUGUCCACCUGCAUCAGUAAACAAUAAAGAUGUUAUCAAGACAAGAAAUUGACAUCACUUGUGUUAAAAUAUUAAAGCUCCAAAUGAUAAAAUAUUAAAUCAUAUAUGGACAACAUUAAUAUGACAUUUUUGAGCACCUUAAAGACGCAUUUGGAAAAUUUGAAGAACCAUUCGAACAGCCACAUUCGAACAUCUUAAAGACAACAAAAUUUUGUCUUGUUUUGGACAACCUAAUGGAUCAGCAAGGCAUAUAUUAAACUAUGCCUAACAUGUUUAUUUCAUCAUGCUUUAAGCAACAAUAAACAACCAUUAGGCAUUAUAUUAAAUCAACUCUUUAACACAUCCGAACAACUUAAAAUACAUCGUUCGAAUAUCAUAAAUCACAACUUUCAGACACCAUAAAUUGCAGCAUUUAACACCUAAAUUUUUAGCUUACUAACAUCAUAAAUUCAUAUCCAUUUGGACAUCAUUAGUUAACAUUUAACAAUUUAGUUUCACAUUGUUCAGAUCAUUUUAAUUUCUUGAUCACUUGGAUGAUCUUUAAUUAUUAAUUGGACAACAAUAUACAACCAUCGAUUAGACCACCUAAAUUGGUAAGAAAUUAGACAGCAUGCAUGCAAACUGCAUGCUUCAGCAGCUCCCUCGACAACUAGAAAUUUCACUAAAAUUUCACUUAAUUCCAUCACUCAUACCAGCAUAAAGAUGCAACAAAACAACCAAGGAAGAAAAGGUAAAGAACUUAGUAUCAUUUAUUUAACUAAUUAAAUAACAUAUGCUAUUGUUGCAUUUUUAGCAAGUUUAAAACAUCUUUAAAGAGGGAAAUUAAAUCCUGAAAGUCAAGCAUUUGGACAGAGGCCAAAGUUGGCAUUUAACCUCUCAUAGUUCCCUAUUAUUUCAAUCAGUAGCAGUCCAUCUCCUCAACAAAUUUAAGCAUAUUCAGUUCAGCAAUUUCAUACUUAAAACUUCAAACUUUACAAAGGCUUAAAAGAUUAAUCGAAGUUGCCACUAGCCAGGAGAAUAUUAGUAAAUAAUGAAGGAAUAUAAAAAUAAUACAUGUUUGUGAAAGUUACUUGAUACUUGUCUGUCCACCUGCAUCAGUAAAUAAUAAAUAUGUUAUCAAGACAAGAAGUUGACAUCACUUGUGUUAAAAUAUUAAAGCUCCAAAUGAUAAAAGAAAGCAAAAUUCCAGCACACAGUACAUAUCACGAAAGGAAGUGGUUGUUCAAAAUAGCAAGUUCAGUCAAUUA